Molecule: ribosomal RNA, 468 nt
Filed under: uncultured bacterium
Lineage: Bacteria
Description: partial 16S ribosomal RNA
Rfam family: Bacterial small subunit ribosomal RNA
Source: RNAcentral
GACGAACGCUGGCGGCGUGCUUAACACAUGCAAGUCGAACGGAAAGGCCCUUCUUUUGUGGGGUGCUCGAGUGGCGAACGGGUGAGUAACACGUGAGUAACCUGCCCUUGACUUUGGGAUAACUUCAGGAAACUGGGGCUAAUACCGGAUAGGAGCUCCUGCUGCAUGGUGGGGGUUGGAAAGUUUCGGCGGUUGGGGAUGGACUCGCGGCUUAUCAGCUUGGUGGUGGGGUAGUGGCUUACCAAGGCUUUGACGGGUAGCCGGCCUGAGAGGGUGACCGGCCACAUUGGGACUGAGAUACGGCCCAGACUCCUACGGGAGGCAGCAGUGGGGAAUAUUGCACAAUGGGCGGAAGCCUGAUGCAGCAACGCCGCGUGCGGGAUGACGGCCUUCGGGUUGUAAACCGCUUUCGCCUGUGACGAAGCGUGAGUGACGGUAAUGGGUAAAGAAGCACCGGCUAACUACGUG